UACGGGGGGGGUAAGCGUUGUUCGGAAUUACUGGGCGUAAAGGGCUCGUAGGCGGCCAACUAAGUCGGACGUGAAAUCCCUCAGCUUAACUGGGGAACUGCGUCCGAUACUGGAUGGCUUGGAUUUGGGAGAGGGAUGCGGAAUUCCAGGUGUAGCGGUGAAAUGCGUAGAUAUCUGGAGGAACACCGGUGGCGAAAGCGGCGACCUGGACCGAUAUUGACGCUGAGGAGCGAAAGCCAGGGGAGCAAACGGG
RNAcentral lists this ribosomal RNA (253 nucleotides) under uncultured bacterium. RNAcentral's name for it is "partial 16S ribosomal RNA". It matches the Rfam family "Bacterial small subunit ribosomal RNA", at positions 524 to 776 of the family's 1533-position model. The record is from RNAcentral.